This 506-nucleotide ribosomal RNA is filed under the name uncultured bacterium. RNAcentral describes it as "partial 16S ribosomal RNA". It matches the Rfam family "Bacterial small subunit ribosomal RNA", at positions 28 to 523 of the family's 1533-position model. The record is from RNAcentral.
GAUGAACGCUAGCUACAGGCUUAACACAUGCAAGUCGAGGGGUAACGAGAGGAAAGCUAGCUUUCCUUGUCGACGACCGGCGCACGGGUGAGUAACGCGUAUCCAACCUGCCCCCAACUAAGGAAUAACCUUGCGAAAGUAAGACUAAUACCUUAUAAUUUCCUCAGAUGACAUCUGACGAGGAAUAAAGAUUUAUCGGUUGUGGAUGGGGAUGCGUCUGAUUAGCUUGUUGGCGGGGUAACGGCCCACCAAGGCAACGAUCAGUAGGGGUUCUGAGAGGAAGGUCCCCCACAUUGGAACUGAGACACGGUCCAAACUCCUACGGGAGGCAGCAGUGAGGAAUAUUGGUCAAUGGGCGGAAGCCUGAACCAGCCAAGUAGCGUGCAGGAUGACGGCCCUAUGGGUUGUAAACUGCUUUUAUACAGGAAUAAAGUUAGCCACGUGUGGUUAUUUGUAGGUACUGUAUGAAUAAGGACCGGCUAAUUCCGUGCCAGCCGCCGCAGUAA